This 664-nucleotide long non-coding RNA is filed under the name Pongo abelii (Sumatran orangutan). Its description in RNAcentral is "lincRNA". The record is from RNAcentral. Lineage: Eukaryota; Metazoa; Chordata; Mammalia; Primates; Hominidae.
UCAUCCUGUCCUCACAGUGGCUGGUGUGGAGACCGACAGACUUCAUCCUUAGGAUGGACCUUCAGGCACCCAGGCCACCUACUGACCUCUCUGGCAUGGGUGGGAACCGGGAGCUCGUUGGUAAGCAGGAGGCUUCAGGACUACUGAGCGAACACCGCUUCCUCUGUGGCACGCACCGUGCUUUGUCUUUUGGGUCAUCAUCUCAUCACCUCUGCACAGGAAGAUUAUCUCCCCCACUUUGUGAUGAGGAAACGGAGGCUCCAGGAGGAAAGAUGCAACCUGGGCCAGAGGCCCCUGGAGGCUGUGCCUGACCCCAGACAGAUCAGACAAACCCGAGCAGCCAUUAGCAGCUGCAUGGACUCCUUUGCAUUGUGGGGCUGCUCCUGGGGAUAUUUGUGUUGUGAAUGGGUAGAAUCUGAAUGGCAGAAUAUGAAUUUCCAGAUGUUCUUCUUAGAAGAUGCAGUCUGCCACAGGUCCCUUCCUCUCUCCAGCUGUCUGGAAUGGAGCCACCAUGUCUGGUGCUCAAGCGGCCAGCUCUGACCCAGAGGUAACACAUUAUGGAUUGUGGAGCCGCAGGAUGGAGUAGCCUGGGUCUGAUGGUUCUGUUAGUCAAGGCUAUCCAAAGAAGCAGGACCAAUAGGAAAUACAUAUGUUUAUGUAUGUA